RNAcentral lists this ribosomal RNA (1504 nucleotides) under uncultured fungus. RNAcentral's name for it is "eukaryotic LSU rRNA". The stretch from base 767 to 1504 matches the Rfam family "Eukaryotic large subunit ribosomal RNA", at positions 1 to 667 of the family's 3401-position model. Lineage: Eukaryota; Fungi. The record is from RNAcentral.
CUUGGUCAUUUAGAGGAAGUAAAAGUCGUAACAAGGUAACCGUAGGUGAACCUGCGGUUGGAUCAUUAUAAAUGAACUAUUUUAAACGGUUGAUAGAAUAUACUUUAGUAUUUUCUCCUGUUUAAAAUAUUUAACCAUUGUGCACUGUAAUUUGUGAAUUCGGCUUUAUAAUUUUUGAAAUCGUGCAUAGUUUGGCUUUAAAUUUAUUUUAGAGCGUAGGCCAGUUAAAGGAAUAAAAUUAUAAAGUCGGCAGUAUUUAAACCCAACAUUAACAUUGACUUAAUUUUUUUUCGUAUGAAAAUAUAAAAAGAAACAACUUUUGACAACGGAUCUCUUGGCUCUCGCAACGAUGAAGAACGCAGCGAAAUGCGAUAUGUAAUGUGAAUUGCAGAAUUCCGUGAAUCAUCAAAUCUUUGAACGCACAUUGCACUCUAAUUUAUUAGAGUAUGCCUGUUUGAGAAUCUAUAGUACCAUAUUAUUUUAGGAUUUUUAAUUUAAUUAACAUUGUUAAUUUUAUUUUGCCUAUUAUAAUGAUUUGCUGGUUAACUUUGAAAAAAGUUUCCGGUUAAAACUAUAGCUUUAAAACUGAAUGUUAAUGUUUGAGUUAUUAUUUGAUUUUAUAGAAAAGUUUUUGAAUGUAAUCGCAAGUUACUCUAGAAGCCCAGUAAAUAAAUUUUCGGUAUUAAUGAGUUACAUUUUGGUAAUAAAGUUCAUAACCUUUUAAUAAGUUUUUUAAUCUGAAUAAGAUUUUAGAAUUUAUGAACCAUGGUCUCAAAUCAGGUAGGAAGACCCGCUGAACUUAAGCAUAUCAAUAAGCGGAGGAAAAGAAACUAACAAGGAUUCCCCUAGUAACGGCGAGUGAAGCGGGAACAGCUCAAAUUUGAAAUCUCAUUAUUUUAUAAUGCGAAUUGUAGUUUAAAGAAACAUUUUCGGGGUAAGAGGUCAGUACAAGUUCUUUGGAACAAGACAUCAUAGAGGGUGAAAAUCCCGUCUACGACUGAUUAUUUUAUUCUAUGUGAUAUGUCUUCUAAGAGUCGGUUUGUUUGGGAAUGCAGACCAAAAUGGGAGGUAAAUACCUUCUAAAGCUAAAUAUUGGCGAGAGACCGAUAGCGAACAAGUACCGUGAGGGAAAGAUGAAAAGAACUUUGAAAAGAGAGUUAAACAGUACGUGAAAUUGUCAAAAGGGAAACGCUUGAAACCAGUAUUGAGAAUGAUAAUUCUAGUAUAAUUUAUUAUACCUUAUUUUAUUAUUUUCAAGUCAAUAUCAGUUUGAUUUGAAGUAAAAAGCUAUGGGAAGGUAACCUUUUAGGUAUUAUAGCUCAUAGUUAUGCUUUGGAUUAGACUGAGGACUGCAGCUUUUUUUGGAGAACCAGUCGCUUUUGGAAAUAUCAAAGUUAAAUGCUUGCAGAUAACUUUGUUUAUGAAGAAAUACGGUUGGUGUAUCACACCAAAGCUUAGGAUAUUGACGAAAUGGUUUUAAACGACCCGUCUUGAAACACGGACC